UGAAAGUCAGGUCGGAUUAAGCCAUAGUACGGGAAAAACUAUGCUACCUGUGAGCCCCGUCCAAGGACGUAAAAAGAAGUCAGGCCAUCAUAAAUGCCACAGCUUGAGCAAACUGUGCAGCCUGUAGCUCCACCUG
RNAcentral lists this long non-coding RNA (136 nucleotides) under dengue virus type 2. RNAcentral describes it as "Dengue virus type 2 partial sfRNA1". The record is from RNAcentral. Lineage: Riboviria; Orthornavirae; Kitrinoviricota; Flasuviricetes; Amarillovirales; Flaviviridae.